GGCUCUGGCACAGAUCCCAAGGUGGCAAUGGCCUCUGCUGCCUCAGCCCCUGCCAUGCUGUCCACCAGCAUCACUGUGGAGAAUAAGGUCAGCCCCUCAAGGGCAACAGAGGGGUCUAGGUCUGGACCUGUGGCUGGCGGCACAGGAGCCAUGGUGGUGCAGACCAGGAGCUGUGUCUAGCAAGGCUUAUGCCCUGCCAAGCACUGCCAAUGGAGAUGUGAAGCUGCUGGUGGUAUCCAGCAUGCCUCUGGUGGACUUCCUGAUGUAGCUGGAGGAUUAUACACCUAUGAUCCUGGAUGCUGUGACUGAUUAUUUUUUAUUUUUGAGAUGGAAUCUCGCUCUGUUGCCCAGGCUGGAGUGCAGUGGCAUGAACUUGGCUCACUGCAACCUCCGCCUCCUGAGUUCAAGUGGUUCUCCUGCCUCAGCCUCCCCAGCAGCUGGGAUUACAGGUGCACACCACCAUGCCUGGCUAAUUUUUGUAUUUUUGUAGAGACGGGGUUUCACUAUGUUGGCCAGGCUAGUCUCAAACUCCCGACCUCAAGUAAUCCACCUGUCUCAGCCUUCUAAAUGCAGGGAUUACAGGCGUGAGCCAUGCGCCUGGCCCAAUGUGACUGAGCAUUAUCUGAAUUAUGUUGGCUUUGAGGUCUCAGACACAUGCAUAAUUUGGCUUAUCUCCCUAGUUUCACAGAAAUUCAUCUCAGGUAUUGCCAACAAUGACCUACGGCACUAGAAAAUGAAAGGCACAGCCUCUGGCAGCUCCUGAAGUAAGAGCAAAGACUAA
This 781-nucleotide long non-coding RNA is filed under the name Homo sapiens (human). RNAcentral describes it as "non-protein coding lnc-ETFBKMT-2:1". The record is from RNAcentral. Lineage: Eukaryota; Metazoa; Chordata; Mammalia; Primates; Hominidae.